GAGGAAAAGAAACUAACAAGGAUUCCCCUAGUAACUGCGAGUGAAGCGGGAAAAGCUCAAAUUUAAAAUCUGGCAGUCUUUGGCUGUCCGAGUUGUAGUCUGGAGAAGCGUCUUCCGCGCUGGACCGUGUACAAGUCUCCUGGAACGGAGCGUCAUAGAGGGUGAGAAUCCCGUCUUUGACACGGACUACCAGUGCUCUGUGAUGCGCUCUCAAAGAGUCGAGUUGUUUGGGAAUGCAGCUCAAAAUGGGUGGUAAACUCCAUCUAAAGCUAAAUAUUGGCGAGAGACCGAUAGCGAACAAGUACCGUGAGGGAAAGAUGAAAAGCACUUUGGAAAGAGAGUUAAACAGUACGUGAAAUUGCUGAAAGGGAAACGCUUGAAGUCAGUCGCGUUUGCUAGGACUCAGCCUUGCCUCGGCGUGGUGCAUUUCCUAGUAGACGGGCCAGCAUCACUUUUGGCUGCGGGAAAAAGGUCAGAGAAAUGUGGCACCUUUUGGUGUGUUAUAGUCUCUGGCUGUAUACCGUGGCUGGGAGUGAGGAACUCAGCAUGCCUUUAUGGCGGGGCUUCGGCUACCUUCAUGCUUAGGAUGCUGGCGUAAUGGCUUUAAACGACCCGUCUUGAAACACGGACCAAGGAGUCUAACAUGCCUGCGAGUGUUUGGGUGGAAAACCCGAGCGCGCAAUGAAAGUGAAAGUUGGGACCUCUGUCGUGGAGGGCACCGACGCCCGGACCAGACCUUCGGUGACGGAUCUGCGGUAGAGCAUGUAUGUUGGGACCCGAAAGAUGGUGAACUAUGCCUGAAUAGGGUGAAGCCAGAGGAAACUCUGGUGGAGGCUCGUAGCGAUUCUGACGUGCAAAUCGAUCGUCAAAUUUGGGUAUAGGGGCGAAAGACUAAUCGAACCAUCUAGUAGCUG
This 914-nucleotide ribosomal RNA is filed under the name Phanerochaete albida. RNAcentral's name for it is "partial large subunit ribosomal RNA". It matches the Rfam family "Eukaryotic large subunit ribosomal RNA", at positions 53 to 953 of the family's 3401-position model. The record is from RNAcentral. Lineage: Eukaryota; Fungi; Basidiomycota; Agaricomycetes; Polyporales; Phanerochaetaceae.